UGCCUACGGGAGCAGCAGUCGGGAAUAUUGCGCAAUGGAGGAAACUCUGACGCAGUGACGCCGCGUAUAGGAAGAAGGUUUUCGGAUUGUAAACUAUUGUCGUUAGGGAAGAUAAAAGACUGUACCUAAGGAGGAAGCCCCGGCUAACUAUGUGCCAGCAGCCGCGGUAAUACAUAGGGGGCAAGCGUUAUCCGGAAUUAUUGGGUGUAAAGGGCGUGUAGGCGGGAAUGCAAGUCAGAUGUGAAAACUAUGGGCUCAACCCAUAGCCUGCAUUUGAAACUGUAUUUCUUGAGUGCUGGAGAGGG
This 305-nucleotide ribosomal RNA is filed under the name uncultured bacterium. RNAcentral's name for it is "bacterial SSU rRNA". It matches the Rfam family "Bacterial small subunit ribosomal RNA", at positions 335 to 658 of the family's 1533-position model. The record is from RNAcentral.